CGGACCGGCGGACGGGUGCGUAACGCGUAUGCAACCUGCCUGACACAGGGGGAUAAUCCGAAGAAAUUUGGUCUAAUACCCCAUAAUACCGAUAUAGGCAUCUAUGUUGGUUGAAAGCUUUGGUGGUGUCAGAUGGGCAUGCGUUGUAUUAGCUAGUUGGUGAGGUAACGGCUCACCAAGGCGACGAUACAUAGGGGGACUGAGAGGUCAACCCCCCACACUGGUACUGAGACACGGACCAGACUCCUACGGGAGGCAGCAUG
RNAcentral lists this ribosomal RNA (263 nucleotides) under uncultured bacterium. Its description in RNAcentral is "partial 16S ribosomal RNA". It matches the Rfam family "Bacterial small subunit ribosomal RNA", at positions 91 to 353 of the family's 1533-position model. The record is from RNAcentral.